This 117-nucleotide ribosomal RNA is filed under the name Labrus bergylta (ballan wrasse). The record is from RNAcentral. Lineage: Eukaryota; Metazoa; Chordata; Actinopteri; Labriformes; Labridae.
GCUUACGGCCAUACCACCUGAACACGCCCGAUCUCGUCCGAUCUCGGAAGCUAAGCAGGUCGGGCCUGGUUAGUACUUGGAUGGGAGACCGCCUGGGAAUACCAGGUGCUGUAAGUU